AGAGUUUGAUCCUGGCUCAGAGUGAACGCUGGCGGCGUGCUUAACACAUGCAAGUCGAACGGUAACAGAAAGAAGCUUGCUUCUUUGCUGACGAGUGGCGCACGGGUGAGUAAUAUAUAGUUAAUCUGCCUUCAAGAGAGGGAUAGCCAUUGGAAACGAUGAUUAAUACUUCAUAUGCCCUUAAUACAUAAGUAUGCAGGGGAAACGAAUUUUUGCUUGAAGAUGAGACUAUAUCGCAUCAGUUAGUUGGUGGGGUAAUGGCCUACCAAGACAAUGACGCGUAGCGGGUUUGAGAGGAUGAUCCGCCACACUGGUACUGAGACACGGACCAGACUCCUACGGGAGGCAGCAGUGAGGAAUAUUGCACAAUGGGGGGAACCCUGAUGCAGCAACGCCGCGUGGAGGAUGACGCAUUCCGGUGUGUAAACUCCUUUUAUAAGGGAAGAAGAUGACGGUACCUUAUGAAUAAGCUCCGGCUAACUCCGUGCCAGCAGCCGCGGUAAUACGGAGGGAGCAAGCGUUACUCGGAAUCACUGGGCGUAAAGGACGCGUAGGCGGGUUGGAAAGUCAGGUGUGAAAGCCUACAGCUUAACUGUAGAACUGCACUUGAAACUCUCAACCUAGAGUAUGGGAGGGGCAGAUGGAAUUAGUGGUGUAGGGGUAAAAUCCGUAGAUAUCACUAGGAAUACCCAAAGCGAAGGCGAUCUGCUGGAACAUUACUGACGCUAAGGCGUGAAAGCGUGGGGAGCGAACGGGAUUAGAUACCCCGGUAGUCCACGCCCUAAACGAUGAACACUAGUCGUCGGAGUACUAGUUACUUCGGUGAUGCA
This 830-nucleotide ribosomal RNA is filed under the name uncultured Campylobacterota bacterium. RNAcentral's name for it is "bacterial SSU rRNA". It matches the Rfam family "Bacterial small subunit ribosomal RNA", at positions 8 to 850 of the family's 1533-position model. Lineage: Bacteria; Pseudomonadati; Campylobacterota. The record is from RNAcentral.